RNAcentral lists this ribosomal RNA (468 nucleotides) under uncultured bacterium. RNAcentral describes it as "partial 16S ribosomal RNA". It matches the Rfam family "Bacterial small subunit ribosomal RNA", at positions 28 to 507 of the family's 1533-position model. The record is from RNAcentral.
GACGAACGCUGGCGGCGUGCUUAACACAUGCAAGUCGAACGGAAAGGCCCUGCUUUUGUGGGGUGCUCGAGUGGCGAACGGGUGAGUAACACGUGAGUAACCUGCCCUUGACUUUGGGAUAACUUCAGGAAACUGGGGCUAAUACCGGAUAGGAGCUCCUGCUGCAUGGUGGGGGUUGGAAAGUUUCGGCGGUUGGGGAUGGACUCGCGGCUUAUCAGCUUGUUGGUGGGGUAGUGGCUUACCAAGGCUUGGACGGGUAGCCGGCCUGAGAGGGUGACCGGCCACAUUGGGACUGAGAUACGGCCCAGACUCCUACGGGAGGCAUCAGUGGGGAAUAUUGCACAAUGGGCGGAAGCCUGAUGCAGCAACGCCGCGUGCGGGAUGACGGCCUUCGGGUUGUAAACCGCUUUCGCCUGUGACGAAGCGUGAGUGACGGUAAUGGGUAAAGAAGCACCGGCUAACUACGUG